UCAAUGGCUGUUUUCACAGCCAUCUCCUACUAGCAAAGUAUAAUAUU
Non-coding RNA from Mus musculus (house mouse), 47 nucleotides. The record is from Rfam. NCBI's taxonomy places the organism in Eukaryota, Metazoa, Chordata, Mammalia, Rodentia, Muridae.